AGUGAACGCUGGCGGCAGGCCUAACACAUGCAAGUCGAACGGCAGCACAAGAGAGCUUGCUCUCUGGGUGGCGAGUGGCGGACGGGUGAGGAAUGCAUCGGAAUCUGCCCAUUUGUGGGGGAUAACCUCGGGAAACCGGGACUAAUACCGCAUACGACCUACGGGUGAAAGCAGGGGAUCUUCGGACCUUGCGCAGAUGGAUGAGCCGAUGCCGGAUUAGCUAGUUGGAGGGGUAAAGGCCCACCAAGGCGACGAUCCGUAGCUAGUCUGAGAGGAUGAUCAGCCACACUGGGACUGAGACACGGCCCAGACUCCUACGGGAGGCAGCAGUGGGGAAUAUUGGACAAUGGGCGCAAGCCUGAUCCAGCCAUGCCGCGUGUGUGAAGAAGGCCUUCGGGUUGUAAAGCACUUUUGUUGGGAAAGAAAAGCAGCCGGUUAAUACCCGGUUGUCAUGACGGUACCCAAAGAAUAAGCACCGGCUAACUUCGUG
Molecule: ribosomal RNA, 490 nt
Filed under: uncultured bacterium
Lineage: Bacteria
Description: partial 16S ribosomal RNA
Rfam family: Bacterial small subunit ribosomal RNA
Source: RNAcentral